Molecule: transfer RNA, 76 nt
Filed under: Oscillospiraceae bacterium
Lineage: Bacteria; Bacillati; Bacillota; Clostridia; Eubacteriales; Oscillospiraceae
Description: tRNA-Gly
Rfam family: tRNA
About the family: Transfer RNA (tRNA) molecules are approximately 80 nucleotides in length.
Source: RNAcentral
GCGAACGUAGCUCAUCUGGCAGAGCGCCACCUUGCCAAGGUGGAGGUAGCGGGUUCGAGCCCCGUCGUUCGCUCCA